UACAGAGGUGGCAAGCGUUGUUCGGAAUUACUGGGCGUAAAGGGCGCGUAGGCGGCCCGAUAAGUCCCGCGUGAAAUCCCCCGGCUCAACCGGGGAACUGCGCGGGAAACUGUCGAGCUUGAGUUCGGGAGAGGGAAGCGGAAUUCCGGGUGUAGCGGUGAAAUGCGCAGAUAUCCGGAGGAACACCGGUGGCGAAGGCGGCUUCCUGGACCGACACUGACGCUGAGGCGCGAAAGCUAGGGGAGCAAAC
RNAcentral lists this ribosomal RNA (250 nucleotides) under uncultured bacterium. RNAcentral describes it as "partial 16S ribosomal RNA". It matches the Rfam family "Bacterial small subunit ribosomal RNA", at positions 524 to 773 of the family's 1533-position model. The record is from RNAcentral.